GCUAACUCUUUCCCUCUGUUCUAUUUCUAGACUGACUCUCUAGUUUAAUAAAAUCUAGUUUCUUUGUUUUCCUGCAGGAUAAAUCUUUGAACAGUUUCAUUUCCUUUCUACAAAAUGUUACCUAAAAGGGCCUCGGCACGCCACAGGCCCUGAUAAAUACAACCAACAGCAAACAUUGUGUGCUGUGCGGAGGCUCUGAUCACGAUCAAAACAUAGACAUCAUGAGGACAGCUAGUGUGCUGAGACCAACUUAUCAUCCUAUUCUGAAAUAUGCACCUUAGAGAUAUGUGAAAUGAUUCGACCAUGGUGAUCUCCUGCUGUUCAAACAAUGGAUUGAACUUGAAGAAUAACACUGCUCUCAGAGAGACAGCGAGCUCAGACAGUCUUUUAAAUGACUGCGGGGACGUUUUCAGCACAGUGAGAGCUGUUUUUACUGUCCCAUGGGUGGUAACUGAGGUAAUAUACACAGACCACUGAGGUAUCUUAUCGUGCUUCUUUUAUAUAGCAUGCCAAUAAAGUUUGCAUAUAUAUAUAACAUGCAUGUGUGUGUGUUCUGCGGGGCAGUAUAAGUGAAUCUGCAUAGUCAGUGAUAAUAAUUGAUGUUAUAAUGACUUUUUCUACAAUGUCUGUAAACUAUCUGCCUCUUCCUCUUCUUCUUCUUCACCAAAAAAUGUCGACACUAACCCGUGGUGAGUCACUCAUGGCUGCCAUGAACAGUCUGCUCUUGUACAAACGUGCUCUCAUGCAAAUUGUGGUUGAUGAUGUAAAAAAUGCAAAUUUGGUGCAGCGGAGGCUGUGAGCUUGUUUGCUCUUUGCCCUUAAGCAAAUAAAGAUCAGGAAACUUCUCGAUCCUGAGGGGACGCUGGAUGCACAUCGACAAACUAGAUCCACCAUGUACAACGUUAAACUGAAGAUUUAAUAG
Molecule: long non-coding RNA, 922 nt
Organism: Larimichthys crocea (large yellow croaker)
Lineage: Eukaryota; Metazoa; Chordata; Actinopteri; Sciaenidae
Exons: 3
Source: RefSeq, a predicted model, not a curated record